Molecule: non-coding RNA, 21 nt
Filed under: Caenorhabditis elegans
Lineage: Eukaryota; Metazoa; Nematoda; Chromadorea; Rhabditida; Rhabditidae
Source: RNAcentral
UUCAGGGAUAUUAUGCUUCCG